UCCUGUGUGGCUCAGUUGGUAGAGCAUGGUGCUUGCAAUGCCAGGGUUGUGGGUUCGAUUUCCAUGGGAG
Molecule: transfer RNA, 70 nt
Filed under: Salmo salar (Atlantic salmon)
Lineage: Eukaryota; Metazoa; Chordata; Actinopteri; Salmoniformes; Salmonidae
Also listed under: 1 other name
Rfam family: tRNA
About the family: Transfer RNA (tRNA) molecules are approximately 80 nucleotides in length. Their secondary structure includes four short double-helical elements and three loops (D, anti-codon, and T loops). Further hydrogen bonds mediate the characteristic L-shaped molecular structure. tRNAs have two regions of fundamental functional importance: the anti-codon, which is responsible for specific mRNA codon recognition, and the 3' end, to which the tRNAs corresponding amino acid is attached (by aminoacyl-tRNA synthetases). tRNAs cope with the degeneracy of the genetic code in two manners: having more than one tRNA (with a specific anti-codon) for a particular amino acid; and 'wobble' base-pairing, i.e. permitting non-standard base-pairing at the 3rd anti-codon position.
Source: Rfam by way of RNAcentral